RNAcentral lists this small nucleolar RNA (107 nucleotides) under Eutrema salsugineum. Its description in RNAcentral is "Plant small nucleolar RNA R71". It matches the Rfam family "Plant small nucleolar RNA R71". From Rfam's summary of the family: R71 is a member of the C/D box family of snoRNAs containing the C (UGAUGA) and D (CUGA) box motifs. Multiple nearly identical copies of this snoRNA have been identified in Arabidopsis, and it is thought to function as a 2'-O-ribose methylation guide for 18S ribosomal RNA. Lineage: Eukaryota; Viridiplantae; Streptophyta; Magnoliopsida; Brassicales; Brassicaceae. The record is from Rfam by way of RNAcentral.
AAGCCAUGAUGGGGACAGUCUCGCUGGUACGAUUUGAAUCGCACCCAAGAAGCUUUGAAUGGUUCAGUUGGUUCCUGAGAAAAAGUUGAAAUUUUUGUCCUCAACUC